GCGGCAGUGGCGGAAUUGGCAGACGCGCAAGAUUCAGGUUCUUGUGUCCGUAAGGAUGUGAAGGUUCAAGUCCUUUCUGCCGCACCA
Molecule: transfer RNA, 87 nt
Filed under: Pelotomaculum schinkii
Lineage: Bacteria; Bacillati; Bacillota; Clostridia; Eubacteriales; Desulfotomaculaceae
Also listed under: 1 other name
Description: tRNA-Ser
Rfam family: tRNA
About the family: Transfer RNA (tRNA) molecules are approximately 80 nucleotides in length. Their secondary structure includes four short double-helical elements and three loops (D, anti-codon, and T loops).
Source: RNAcentral